This 73-nucleotide transfer RNA is filed under the name Pyronema omphalodes CBS 100304. RNAcentral's name for it is "tRNA-Val". It matches the Rfam family "tRNA". From Rfam's summary of the family: Transfer RNA (tRNA) molecules are approximately 80 nucleotides in length. Their secondary structure includes four short double-helical elements and three loops (D, anti-codon, and T loops). The record is from RNAcentral. Lineage: Eukaryota; Fungi; Ascomycota; Pezizomycetes; Pezizales; Pyronemataceae.
GGUUGCAUGGUGUAGUGGUUAUCACGUUCGCUUUACACGCGAAAGGUCGCCAGUUCAAACCUGGCUGCAAUCA